Long non-coding RNA from Fukomys damarensis (Damara mole-rat), 437 nucleotides. RefSeq lists it as uncharacterized. The record is from RefSeq and is a predicted model, not a curated record. NCBI's taxonomy places the organism in Eukaryota, Metazoa, Chordata, Mammalia, Rodentia, Bathyergidae. The transcript has 3 exons.
GUCGGGUCGUGGGCCCCACUUGCGUAGUGGGCGACGCUGGCGGUCUGGUUCCCCGGUCUCACCCGACCACAGGGUCAGAGAGUGUCUCGCUGAGUCCAAUCUGCUGCCCUUGAACUCGCUAUGUUGCCCAAGCUGGCCUUCAAUCACCAUGAUCCUCUGUCCCAACCUCCCACAGGCUGAGACUACAGCCAUGAACUGCCACGCCUGGCCAUCUCCCGCAGGAUCAGACCCAGGACCUCGUUCCAUUCUACUGAGCUGUGCUCCCAGCCAGUAUUUGUUGACAGAUAGAGUGAACAGUGAAGGAAUGAAGGAGUAAAAGAAAACUAAAAUCAAACACGCUUCCCUUGGCUCUGCCAGUGGCUCCCUACUCCUCUCGGGACAGUCUGUACCUCGCAUUGAAGGUUUUCACUAUCGGAUCACCAUUACUCACCCAGCCA